This 395-nucleotide ribosomal RNA is filed under the name uncultured bacterium. RNAcentral describes it as "bacterial SSU rRNA". It matches the Rfam family "Bacterial small subunit ribosomal RNA", at positions 505 to 898 of the family's 1533-position model. The record is from RNAcentral.
GUGUCAGCAGCCGCGGUAAUACGUAGGUGGCGAGCGUUGUCCGGAAUUACUGGGUGUAAAGGGCGUGUAGGCGGGGAAGCAAGUCAGAUGUGAAAUCCCAUGGCUUAACUGUGGGGCUGCAUCUGAAACUGCAUCUCUUGAGUACUGGAGAGGAAAGCGGAAUUCCUAGUGUAGCGGUGAAAUGCGUAGAUAUUAGGAGGAACACCAGUGGCGAAGGCGGCUUUCUGGACAGAAACUGACGCUGAGGCGCGAAAGCGUGGGGAGCAAACAGGAUUAGAUACCCUGGUAGUCCACGCUGUAAACGAUGGAUACUAGGUGUAGGAGGUAUCGACCCCUUCUGUGCCGCAGUUAACACAAUAAGUAUCCCACCUGGGGAGUACGGCCGCAAGGUUGAA